AGUAACGCGUGGGUAACCUGCCUCAUACAGGGGGAUAACGAUUGGAAACGAUUGCUAAUACCGCAUAAGCGCACAGUACCACAUGGUGCAGUGUGAAAAACUCCGGUGGUAUGAGAUGGACCCGCGUCUGAUUAGCUAGUUGGUGAGGUAACGGCCCACCAAGCCGACGAUCAGUAGCCGACCUGAGAGGGUGACCGGCCACAUUGGGACUGAGACACGGCCCAG
Molecule: ribosomal RNA, 225 nt
Filed under: uncultured bacterium
Lineage: Bacteria
Description: partial 16S ribosomal RNA
Rfam family: Bacterial small subunit ribosomal RNA
Source: RNAcentral